This is a non-coding RNA of Aspergillus glaucus CBS 516.65, 129 nucleotides long. The record is from the annotation of a RefSeq genome assembly. NCBI's taxonomy places the organism in Eukaryota, Fungi, Ascomycota, Eurotiomycetes, Eurotiales, Aspergillaceae.
GGGCCUAUGGCGCAACGGUAGCGCGUGGUACGUUCUUACUCAAUCUGUCAUUUCAGAUUGAACCUUUAACUAACAAGUUCACAGUGACUCCAGAUCACAAGGUUAUCCGUUCGAAUCGGGUUGGGCUCA